GCAGAACCUUGCUCUUGCUAUUUGAUUGCUGUUGAAAUAGUGGACACUAUGAUUUAUUGAUGGGACUUCUAAUUUAUUGAUUUUUUCCGCGGUUCAGACUGAUCUGCGUUUCCAAAGCCAUGCUGUUUUAGCACUUCAGGAGGCUGCAGAGGCCUACCUUGUGGGCCUUUUUGAGGACACCAAUCUGUGUGCUAUUCACGCCAAGCGUGUGACGAUAAUGCCCAAGGACAUUCAGCUGGCUCGCAGAAUCAGGGGUGAGCGUGCUUAGAUGAUUUGAUUCUCGGACAAGGUGUGUGGUGAUGGUGUUUUUUAGUUUAGUUUGUUGUUAAGAAGCAUAAAGAUGCUAGACAGUAUUAAGCUCAAAUAGUUAUUGUUAGUGCUGUUUAUGGGUUGUAAUGGUAGUGUUCCCUUUGGAUGGAAACUAUACUUUUCACAGCUAUUACUCUAUGGACUAGAAUGUUUCCUUUGAACUGCUUUUGGUGAGGAAUUUCCUAUUUGCAUCAUAUGUAGUGGAUCUGUUUUCUAGUAUAUUGCUGUGGUGCAAUUUAUGUUUGCUGUUUGUUGUAUAUUUGCGAAGGUUUGAUUAAUAAUUAUAGGAUUCUUUGAUUGCUAAUUGCCGGUGGCCAAAUA
This 630-nucleotide long non-coding RNA is filed under the name Olea europaea subsp. europaea. The record is from RNAcentral. Lineage: Eukaryota; Viridiplantae; Streptophyta; Magnoliopsida; Lamiales; Oleaceae.